GACGAACGCUGGCGGCGUGCCUAAUACAUGCAAGUUGAGCGCUGAAGGUUGGUACUUGUACCAACUGGAUGAGCAGCGCACGGGUGAGUAACGCGUGGGGAAUCUGCCUUUGAGCGGGGGACAACAUUUGGAAACGAAUGCUAAUACCGCAUAAAAACUUUAAACACAAGUUUUAAGUUUGAAAGAUGCAAUUGCAUCACUCAAAGAUGAUCCCGCGUUGUAUUAGCUAGUUGGUGAGGUAAAGGCUCACCAAGGCGAUGAUACAUAGCCGACCUGAGAGGGUGAGCGGCCACAGUGGGACUGAGACACGGCCCAAACUCCUACGGGAGGCAGCAGUAGGGAAUCGUCGGCAAGGGACGAAAGUCUGACCGAGCAACGCCGCGUGAGUGAAGAAGGUUGUCGGAUCGGAAAACUCGGUUGGUAGAGAAGAACGUUGGUGAGAGUGGAAAGCUCAUCAAGUGACGGUAACUACCCAGAAAGGGACGGCUAACUACGUG
RNAcentral lists this ribosomal RNA (497 nucleotides) under uncultured bacterium. RNAcentral's name for it is "partial 16S ribosomal RNA". It matches the Rfam family "Bacterial small subunit ribosomal RNA", at positions 28 to 507 of the family's 1533-position model. The record is from RNAcentral.